Molecule: ribosomal RNA, 758 nt
Filed under: uncultured marine bacterium
Lineage: Bacteria
Description: bacterial SSU rRNA
Rfam family: Bacterial small subunit ribosomal RNA
Source: RNAcentral
AGUGGCGCACGGGUGCGUAACGCGUAUACAAUCUACCUUUUACAGGGGGAUAGCCCAGAGAAAUUUGGAUUAAUAUCCCAUAGUAUUAUUUAUUGGCAUCGAUUAAUAAUUAAAGCUUCGGCGGUAAAAGAUGAGUAUGCGUUCUAUUAGCUAGUAGGUGUGGUGACGGCACACCUAGGCAACGAUAGAUAGGGGCCCUGAGAGGGGGAUCCCCCACACUGGUACUGAGACACGGACCAGACUCCUACGGGAGGCAGCAGUGAGGAAUAUUGGACAAUGGGCGAGAGCCUGAUCCAGCCAUGCCGCGUGCAGGAUGACUGCCCUAUGGGUUGUAAACUGCUUUUAUACAGGAAGAAACGGCUUUACGUGUAGAGCUCUGACGGUACUGUAAGAAUAAGGAUCGGCUAACUCCGUGCCAGCAGCCGCGGUAAUACGGAGGAUCCAAGCGUUAUCCGGAAUCAUUGGGUUUAAAGGGUCCGUAGGUGGAUAAUUAAGUCAGAGGUGAAAUCCUGCAGCUCAACUGUAGAAUUGCCUUUGAUACUGGUUAUCUUGAGUUACUAUGAAGUAGUUAGAAUAUGUAGUGUAGCGGUGAAAUGCAUAGAUAUUACAUAGAAUACCAAUUGCGAAGGCAGAUUACUAAUAGUACACUGACACUGAUGGACGAAAGCGUGGGGUAGCGAACGGGAUUAUAUACCCCGGUAGUCCACGCCGUAAACGAUGGUCACUAGCUGUUCGGACUUUUUUGUCUGAGUGGCUGA